ACGAUGAACCACUUCGGUGGGGAUUAGUGGCGAACGGGUGAGUAACACGUGGGCAAUCUGCCCUUCACUCUGGGACAAGCCCUGGAAACGGGGUCUAAUACCGGAUAACACUUCCACUCGCAUGGGUGGAGGUUAAAAGCUCCGGCGGUGAAGGAUGAGCCCGCGGCCUAUCAGCUUGUUGGUGAGGUAAUGGCUCACCAAGGCGACGACGGGUAGCCGGCCUGAGAGGGCGACCGGCCACACUGGGACUGAGACACGGCCCAGACUCCUACGGGAGGCAGCAGUGGGGAAUAUUGCACAAUGGGCGAAAGCCUGAUGCAGCGACGCCGCGUGAGGGAUGACGGCCUUCGGGUUGUAAACCUCUUUCAGCAGGGAAGAAGCGAAAGUGACGGUACCUGCAGAAGAAGCGCCGGCUAACUACGUGCCAGCAGCCGCGGUAAUACGUAGGGCGCAAGCGUUGUCCGGAAUUAUUGGGCGUAAAGAGCUCGUAGGCGGUCUGUCGCGUCGGAUGUGAAAGCCCGGGGCUUAACCCCGGGUCUGCAUUCGAUACGGGCAGACUAGAGUGUGGUAGGGGAGAUCGGAAUUCCUGGUGUAGCGGUGAAAUGCGCAGAUAUCAGGAGGAACACCGGUGGCGAAGGCGGAUCUCUGGGCCAUUACUGACGCUGAGGAGCGAAAGCGUGGGGAGCGAACAGGAUUAGAUACCCUGGUAGUCCACGCCGUAAACGGUGGGAACUAGGUGUUGGCGACAUUCCACGUCGUCGGUGCCGCAGCUAACGCAUUAAGUUCCCCGCCUGGGGAGUACGGCCGCAAGGCUAAAACUCAAAGGAAUUGACGGGGG
Molecule: ribosomal RNA, 838 nt
Filed under: Streptomyces sp.
Lineage: Bacteria; Bacillati; Actinomycetota; Actinomycetes; Kitasatosporales; Streptomycetaceae
Description: bacterial SSU rRNA
Rfam family: Bacterial small subunit ribosomal RNA
Source: RNAcentral